UGGUGGGUAGUUUGACUGGGGCGGUCUCCUCCUAAAGAGUAACGGAGGAGCACGAAGGUUGGCUAAUCCUGGUCGGACAUCAGGAGGUUAGUGCAAUGGCAUAAGCCAGCUUGACUGCGAGCGUGACGGCGCGAGCAGGUGCGAAAGCAGGUCAUAGUGAUCCGGUGGUUCUGAAUGGAAGGGCCAUCGCUCAACGGAUAAAAGGUACUCCGGGGAUAACAGGCUGAUACCGCCCAAGAGUUCAUAUCGACGGCGGUGUUUGGCACCUCGAUGUCGGCUCAUCACAUCCUGGGGCUGAAGUAGGUCCCAAGGGUAUGGCUGUUCGCCAUUUAAAGUGGUACGCGAGCUGGGUUUAGAACGUCGUGAGACAGUUCGGUCCCUAUCUGCCGUGGGCGCUGGAGAACUGAGGGGGGCUGCUCCUAGUACGAGAGGACCGGAGUGGACGCAUCACUGGUGUUCGGGUUGUCAUGCCAAUGGCACUGCCCGGUAGCUAAAUGCGGAAGAGAUAAGUGCUGAAAGCAUCUAAGCACGAAACUUGCCCCGAGAUGAGUUCUCCCUGACCCUUUAAGGGUCCUGAAGGAACGUUGAAGACGACGACGUUGAUAGGCCGGGUGUGUAAGCGCAGCGAUGCGUUGAGCUAACCGGUACUAAUGA
This 654-nucleotide ribosomal RNA is filed under the name Escherichia coli. RNAcentral's name for it is "partial 23S ribosomal RNA". It matches the Rfam family "Bacterial large subunit ribosomal RNA", at positions 2259 to 2907 of the family's 2925-position model. The record is from RNAcentral. Lineage: Bacteria; Pseudomonadati; Pseudomonadota; Gammaproteobacteria; Enterobacterales; Enterobacteriaceae.